RNAcentral lists this ribosomal RNA (677 nucleotides) under Pseudomonas sp. RNAcentral's name for it is "bacterial SSU rRNA". It matches the Rfam family "Bacterial small subunit ribosomal RNA", at positions 81 to 754 of the family's 1533-position model. Lineage: Bacteria; Pseudomonadati; Pseudomonadota; Gammaproteobacteria; Pseudomonadales; Pseudomonadaceae. The record is from RNAcentral.
GCUCCNGUGAUUCAGCGGCGGACGGGUGAGUAAUGCCUAGGAAUCUGCCUGGUAGUGGGGGACAACKUUUCGAAAGGAACGCUAAUACCGCAUACGUCCUACGGGAGAAAGCAGGGGACCUUCGGGCCUUGCGCUAUCAGAUGAGCCUAGGUCGGAUUAGCUAGUUGGUGRGGUAAUGGCUCACCAAGGCGACGAUCCGUAACUGGUCUGAGAGGAUGAUCAGUCACACUGGAACUGAGACACGGUCCAGACUCCUACGGGAGGCAGCAGUGGGGAAUAUUGGACAAUGGGCGAAAGCCUGAUCCAGCCAUGCCGCGUGUGUGAAGAAGGUCUUCGGAUUGUAAAGCACUUUAAGUUGGGAGGAAGGGCWGUARAUUAAUACYYUGCUGUUUUGACGUUACCGACAGAAUAAGCACCGGCUAACUCUGUGCCAGCAGCCGCGGUAAUACAGAGGGUGCAAGCGUUAAUCGGAAUUACUGGGCGUAAAGCGCGCGUAGGUGGUUUGUUAAGUUGGAUGUGAAAKCCCCGGGCUCAACCUGGGAACUGCAUCCAAAACUGGCRAGCUAGAGUACGGUAGAGGGUGGUGGAAUUUCCUGUGUAGCGGUGAAAUGCGUAGAUAUAGGAAGGAACACCAGUGGCGAAGGCGACCACCUGGACUGAUACUGACACUGAGGUGC